This 433-nucleotide ribosomal RNA is filed under the name uncultured bacterium. Its description in RNAcentral is "partial 16S ribosomal RNA". It matches the Rfam family "Bacterial small subunit ribosomal RNA", at positions 29 to 507 of the family's 1533-position model. The record is from RNAcentral.
AACGAACGCUGGCGGCAUGCCUAACACAUGCAAGUCGAACGAAGGCUUCGGCCUUAGUGGCGCACGGGUGCGUAACGCGUGGGAAUCUGCCCUUAGGUUCGGAAUAACAGUUAGAAAUGACUGCUAAUACCGGAUGAUGACGUAAGUCCAAAGAUUUAUCGCCUGAGGAUGAGCCCGCGUAGGAUUAGCUAGUUGGUGUGGUAAAGGCGCACCAAGGCGACGAUCCUUAGCUGGUCUGAGAGGAUGAUCAGCCACACUGGGACUGAGACACGGCCCAGACUCCUACGGUAGGCAGCAGUGGGGAAUAUUGGACAAUGGGCGCAAGCCUGAUCCAGCAAUGCCGCGUGAGUGAUGAAGGCCUUAGGGUUGUAAAGCUCUUUCACCCGUGAUGAUAAUGACAGUAGCGGGAGAAUAAGCCCCGGCUAACUCCGUG